RNAcentral lists this ribosomal RNA (751 nucleotides) under Micrococcus luteus. Its description in RNAcentral is "bacterial SSU rRNA". It matches the Rfam family "Bacterial small subunit ribosomal RNA", at positions 1 to 770 of the family's 1533-position model. The record is from RNAcentral. Lineage: Bacteria; Bacillati; Actinomycetota; Actinomycetes; Micrococcales; Micrococcaceae.
UAUAUUUUAAUCCCGCUCAGGAUGAACGCUGGCGUCGUGCUUAACACAUGCAAGUCGAACGAUGAAGCCCAGCUUGCUGGGUGGAUUAGUGGCGAACGGGUGAGUAACACGUGAGUAACCUGCCCUUAACUCUGGGAUAAGCCUGGGAAACUGGGUCUAAUACCGGAUAGGAGCGUCCACCGCAUGGUGGGUGUUGGAAAGAUUUAUCGGUUUUGGAUGGACUCGCGGCCUAUCAGCUUGUUGGUGAGGUAAUGGCUCACCAAGGCGACGACGGGUAGCCGGCCUGAGAGGGUGACCGGCCACACUGGGACUGAGACACGGCCCAGACUCCUACGGGAGGCAGCAGUGGGGAAUAUUGCACAAUGGGCGCAAGCCUGAUGCAGCGACGCCGCGUGAGGGAUGACGGCCUUCGGGUUGUAAACCUCUUUCAGUAGGGAAGAAGCGAAAGUGACGGUACCUGCAGAAGAAGCACCGGCUAACUACGUGCCAGCAGCCGCGGUAAUACGUAGGGUGCGAGCGUUAUCCGGAAUUAUUGGGCGUAAAGAGCUCGUAGGCGGUUUGUCGCGUCUGUCGUGAAAGUCCGGGGCUUAACCCCGGAUCUGCGGUGGGUACGGGCAGACUAGAGUGCAGUAGGGGAGACUGGAAUUCCUGGUGUAGCGGUGGAAUGCGCAGAUAUCAGGAGGAACACCGAUGGCGAAGGCAGGUCUCUGGGCUGUAAUUGGCGCUGACGGAGUGAAAAGCCCGCCCAGGC